Molecule: long non-coding RNA, 1124 nt
Organism: Lytechinus pictus (painted urchin)
Lineage: Eukaryota; Metazoa; Echinodermata; Echinoidea; Temnopleuroida; Toxopneustidae
Exons: 3
Source: RefSeq, a predicted model, not a curated record
GAAAGGGAUAACGAUGGUAGAUACCUUACAUUCGACUGUGAAUUAGAUGGAGUUAGAAUGAUAUUAGGAAAUGUUUAUUUCCAACUAGGAACAAGGCAAAUGAGCAAAUAGAAGAGUCCUGCAAAAGAUCAAUAUCAUUAUAAAUAAAAAUUCUCUCAGUCAUGUUAUUAUAUUAGGUGGUGAUUUUAAUAUGAUAUUAGAUGAUAAAUUAGAUGAUAAGGGGUCAACCAUACAGGUGAAAUCUAGAUUUAAUACAGAAUUUUUGGAGUUCAUGGACAAAUUUCAAUUAAUAGAUAUUUGGAGGAAAAUAUAUCCAGGAAAACAACAGUUUACUUUAAGACAGAAGACACUACCUAUUCAAAGUAGGCUAGAUUAUUGGAUAAUAUCAAAAGAAGUUGAAACAUUGGUGCUGGAAUAUGACAUUUUACCGUAACUCCAGACCAUUCUGGAAUCUUGCUUACCUGUAGUAGUGGAAAAAAAGAAGUGAAGCGAGGUCCUUCAUAUUGGAAAUUCAAUUAUUAUGAUAAAGAAUAUAUGUUCUGCUAUGAAAAAUGAGAUUCUUAGUUCAGUGGAAAAAGCAACACAGAAAUGUCUUUUCUAAUUACUCAUUGCUUUGGGGCUUUAUUAGAUUAAAGAUUAGAGAGUGUACUCGAAAAUAUUCUAAAGAAAAGGCACGAGAAAGAAAUAAGCUGAUUUUAGAGUCCAAAGUGAAAGACUUAUGAGGCGUUGCAAGAAAGUUAUGUUGCAAUUGAUUGCAAAUCGACUGCAACUUUGCAGCCGAUUCCGAUCGACUGCAACUAGCAAUCAAUCGCCAAUUUGCGUUGCAAGAAAAAGGCUUGCGAUUGAACGCAAGUUGCAGCUGACCUGCAGACGAUUUGCAGCUGUAAACAGGGUCUGCAGCACAAGACUAGCCGAAAAAGCAAAAUAAUGGCUUGCAACAAUCCUGUUUGUGGAAGAGAUUAUGACAAAGAAGUCUGGAACCUCAGAACCACCAUAACUGUGUCUGCUACAAUGUGUGUUCUUGCAACCAGCUGAUUGAUUCAUUUUAUCAACUCUUGAAUGGUUGAUUAUCAGAACUGAAUUCAGAGCUGCUCCUGUCUGUAGCAGGGGCCGCGGAACCGGGG